AUUGAACGCUGGCGGCAGGCUUAACACAUGCAAGUCGAACGGUAACAGGGAUUAGCUUGCUAAUUUGCUGACGAGUGGCGGACGGGUGAGUAAUGCUUGGGAAUCUGGCUUAUGGAGGGGGAUAACUACGGGAAACUGUAGCUAAUACCGCAUAAUAUCGAAAGAUUAAAGGGUGGGACUUUCGGGCCACCUGCCAUGAGAUGAGCCCAAGUGGGAUUAGGUAGUUGGUUAGGUAAAGGCUGACCAAGCCGACGAUCUCUAGCUGGUCUGAGAGGAUGACCAGCCACACUGGAACUGAGACACGGUCCAGACUCCUACGGGAGGCAGCAGUGGGGAAUAUUGCACAAUGGGGGGAACCCUGAUGCAGCCAUGCCGCGUGAAUGAAGAAGGCCUUCGGGUUGUAAAGUUCUUUCGGUGACGAGGAAGGUUGAUAUGUUAAUAGCGUAUCAAAUUGACGUUAAUCACAGAAGAAGCACCGGCUAACUCCGUGCCAGCAGCCGCGGUAAUACGGGGGGUGCGAGCGUUAAUCGGAAUAACUGGGCGUAAAGGGCACGCAGGCGGUGACUUAAGUGAGAUGUGAAAGCCCCGGGCUUAACCUGGGAAUUGCAUUUCAUACUGGGUCGCUAGAGUACUUUAGGGAGGGGUAGAAUUCCACGUGUAGCGGUGAAAUGCGUAGAGAUGUGGAGGAAUACCGAAGGCGAAGGCAGCCCCUUGGGAAUGUACUGACGCUCAUGUGCGAAAGCGUGGGGAGCAAACAGGAUUAGAUACCCUGGUAGUCCACGCUGUAAACGAUGUCGAUUUGGGGAUUGGGCUUUAAGCUUGGUGCCCGUAGCUAACGUGAUAAAUCGACCGCCUGGGGAGUACGGCCGCAAGGUUAAAACUCAAAUGAAUUGACGGGGGCCCGCACAAGCGGUGGAGCAUGUGGUUUAAUUCGAUGCAACGCGAAGAACCUUACCUACUCUUGACAUCCAUGGAAUCUUGUACAGAUACAAGAGUGCCUUCGGGAACCAUGAGACAGGUGCUGCAUGGCUGUCGUCAGCUCGUGUUGUGAAAUGUUGGGUUAAGUCCCGCAACGAGCGCAACCCUUAUCCUUUGUUGCCAGCGGUUAGGCCGGGAACUCAAAGGAGACUGCCAGUGAUAAACUGGAGGAAGGUGGGGAUGAGGUCAAGUCAUCAUGGCCCUUACGAGUAGGGCUACACACGUGCUACAAUGGCGUAUACAGAGGGAAGCCAUCCUGCGAGAGGGAGCAUAAUCUCACAAAGCGCCACUCAGUCCGGAUUGGACUGUGCAACUCGCCUCCAUGAAGUCGGAAUAGCUAGUAAUCGCGAGUCAGACAGUCGCGGGGAAAAUGUGUUCCCGGCCU
RNAcentral lists this ribosomal RNA (1363 nucleotides) under uncultured bacterium. RNAcentral describes it as "bacterial SSU rRNA". It matches the Rfam family "Bacterial small subunit ribosomal RNA", at positions 28 to 1381 of the family's 1533-position model. The record is from RNAcentral.